RNAcentral lists this long non-coding RNA (238 nucleotides) under Nicotiana benthamiana. RNAcentral's name for it is "long non-coding RNA (NBEN_LNC011877)". The record is from RNAcentral. Lineage: Eukaryota; Viridiplantae; Streptophyta; Magnoliopsida; Solanales; Solanaceae.
CAUUUCUCUUCUUCUGGCUAGACAACGACGCGACAACCAAACACACGACCUCACUCCAUCUCUCAUAAUAACCAGCGGCAGAACACAAACAACACACUCCAUCGAUUCAUCUAUUUCAACGAUAGCAGCCACAGAUCUCUCUUUUAUUUUGAAAAGAAAAUCAAUCCUGGUCCAGUCUAUUUUCGAGUUCGCUGCCAAUCGAGAUUGUUCGACGUUGAUUCCGAUUCAAACCCUACCG